Molecule: long non-coding RNA, 1438 nt
Organism: Suricata suricatta (meerkat)
Lineage: Eukaryota; Metazoa; Chordata; Mammalia; Carnivora; Herpestidae
Exons: 2
Source: RefSeq, a predicted model, not a curated record
CCGAGAGACGUCCGUCCUCUCGAGGCUGUGUCAGGAUGUCCAGCUCGACGCGGACCCGGAGCCCCACGGGCCGAAGCUGGUGCCUCCGGACCUUCAGACGCCUGCUGUGAAAUAACACCUGGCACCUUUUCCUUGGCCUCUGCAGGAAGCAGCCUCACUGUUCCCGGAUUCUAGAAAUGCUGGAAACACUUCCGAGGCCUCUGUGGAGUCAAGUCCUACGUGGUUUUGCCCUUUCUCACCUGGGGCCUUUCCCUCUCUUUCUUGUUUGCACUCUCUUUGCUUGACCUUCUCUAGCGACCAGCUCUGAAGUGCAUCUCUUUAUGCUUCUACCCAAGUUUCCCUGCUGCCCGGGAGCGGUGAAGAGACUGCCAUUUCCUGCCUUGUGUCUGUGGGCCAGGGACUUACAUAUGCUAAUUAUUAUCCUCACCCUUGGGCCGUCAUUAUCCUGACUUUACAGACACUUACGGUCACCGAAGCUCAGAGAGGUUGACUGGCUUGUCUGAGGUCACAAAGCUGGCAGCUGACAGAAACAGAAAUUGAAUCCUUAUUAGUCAGUCUCUUGGCACCUGGGCUACUCUACGCCCCUGCCUGGGGCCUUGGCUGUCCACCUCCUGUCCCCCACCCUCCCUCCUGGCCCCUGCUCUUCACCAUGUCUUCACCUUGACCUGGCGUCACUGUCCAGGAGCAGGAGCAGGAGAUGCCUCCACUGCAGUGAAGAGGAAGGAAGGGAGUGUGACGUAUCAUCGACAUGCUCACAGCAUCACAAACCACCAAGGUCCUCAGUGACACGUGACAAUGCGCUAGGCCUCCCUGCUCCAUUGGCUCCAGGCUUGCCCACAUGACUCGCUUAGGCAGCGGGCAUCCGGGAGGACUCACACGGGACAGUUCUGAGAAGAACUUGUCUGUGGGCCAGGGACUUACAUAUGCUAAUUGACUUCUUACACUUCUGCAAGCUUGAGAAGAAGCUUCCUCGGAGCAGCUGCUGCCCCUCCGGCCUGGGCCCAGCCCGCAUACGCCUGGAGGAGAGUCAUUCCUGAGCUCAGUGGGGAGAAGCUGAGGCUUCCGGUCACACCCAGCCUGGAACAGUGACUCCAAGCCACGUGCAGACGCUGAGCGAUGCCAAAUGAGGUGGCUCGAUAGGUCGGGAUGAGCCAGAAGGACAGGAAGCUUCCAGAAGAGCUUUACCAUGGAUACCCCAGCUCUGGAACCAGUUUCAAUCCCAGCCCCGGCCUUUGCUUGCUGAAGGCCAUCCAUACUGCCCAUGGGAACCAGCAUGAGCCACGUGUGGCCCCAGACUCAGGACACAGCGUGUAACCUGCCUGUCAUCUUCCCACUUGCGGCCUCUCCUACCAGCACUGGAGAAACAUGUUCUCAAUUUCCUUUCAUCUUUCUCCACCACCCAGGCUAUAUAGCGAUAAGAAAAUAAUUUUGACAAGGG